This 30-nucleotide non-coding RNA is filed under the name Homo sapiens (human). Lineage: Eukaryota; Metazoa; Chordata; Mammalia; Primates; Hominidae. The record is from RNAcentral.
UAGGAAUACAGUGCUAGUUGAUUGUCAGGU